Molecule: ribosomal RNA, 253 nt
Filed under: uncultured Bacteroides sp.
Lineage: Bacteria; Pseudomonadati; Bacteroidota; Bacteroidia; Bacteroidales; Bacteroidaceae
Description: partial 16S ribosomal RNA
Rfam family: Bacterial small subunit ribosomal RNA
Source: RNAcentral
UACGUAGGUGGCAAGCGUUGUCCGGAUUUACUGGGUGUAAAGGGCGUGUAGCCGGGUUGACAAGUCAGUUGUGAAAGUUUGCGGCUCAACCGUAAAAUUGCAGUUGAAACUGGCAGUCUUGAGUACAGUAGAGGUGGGCGGAAUUCGUGGUGUAGCGGUGAAAUGCUUAGAUAUCACGAAGAACUCCGAUUGCGAAGGCAGCUCACUGGACUGCAACUGACACUGAGGCUCGAAAGUGUGGGUAUCAAACAGG